Molecule: transfer RNA, 54 nt
Filed under: uncultured Symbiodinium
Lineage: Eukaryota; Dinophyceae; Suessiales; Symbiodiniaceae
Description: partial tRNA
Rfam family: tRNA
About the family: Transfer RNA (tRNA) molecules are approximately 80 nucleotides in length. Their secondary structure includes four short double-helical elements and three loops (D, anti-codon, and T loops).
Source: RNAcentral
CGAAUGGUGAGUCAUCGGGCUCAUGCCCCGAAGAAGUGGGUUCGAUUCCCACCU